GCUAGGGUGGCUGCAGUGGGGAAUAUUGCACAAUGGGGGAAACCCUGAUGCAGCGACGCCGCGUGAAGGAUGAAGUAUUUCGGUAUGUAAACUUCUAUCAGCAGGGAAGAAAAUGACGGUACCUGACUAAGAAGCCCCGGCUAACUACGUGCCAGCAGCCGCGGUAAUACGUAGGGGGCAAGCGUUAUCCGGAUUUACUGGGUGUAAAGGGAGCGUAGACGGUAUGGCAAGUCUGAUGUGAAAACCCGGGGCUCAACCCCGGGACUGCAUUGGAAACUGCCGAACUAGAGUGUCGGAGAGGCAAGUGGAAGUGCGAGUGUAGCGGUGAAAUGCGUAGAUAUUAGGAGGAACACCAGUGGCGAAGGCGGCUUGCUGGACGAUGACUGACGUUGAGGCUCGAAAGCGUGGGGAGCAAACAGGAUUAGAUACCCGAGUAGUC
Molecule: ribosomal RNA, 439 nt
Filed under: uncultured bacterium
Lineage: Bacteria
Description: partial 16S ribosomal RNA
Rfam family: Bacterial small subunit ribosomal RNA
Source: RNAcentral